GCCUCCAUUAGACGUAUUGAUUCCCGCCCACCCCCCCUUGUCAAAUUCAACUGCCUCACAGGGUUGUCUUCUUAGACUUUAAUGCUUUUGGUUAUCCUCAAACGCAACCGAGGCACACUGAAUCAGGAAAAGUGCGCAUGAAACAAUUCCCGAAUCGAGCAGCGAGGACAGAGAGAGAGAGACGCUGGAAAAGUUGAAAGCGGAGUUGGUCAAUUACAGCAGACUCCUCCGGCUUUGAGUCUUUGGUGGACCAUAAGCUCUCACGCUGUUUUCUUAAGUCGUCCGCCGCCAGAGAAAUCCUGUUUACCGUGUAACAACGGCGUGGUUGUCAACCACAGCUUACAUGCAUGCACCUGAGAUCACAGGCCCGCCGCUUUAUGGCAUGACAAACACCCACAUUACACACGCCGCAACACACGGGAAACACGCAGCAGCCUGCUGAUAGGUGUGUGCGUGUGUGUUUGUGUGUUGUUACCUGACUGCUCCUGUAUAAUUACCCGGGAAGUCUCCUGAUGUGAAACCUUCGCUGUUCUCACAAUGAACCCAUUUACUGCUGCAAACCAUCAAACACCUGCCUCACACACACACACACACACACACACACACACACACAUACAGGGGCUGAUGGUUUGCAUAUACCGGCAUGCACACACACAAACACACACACACACACACAAACAGAGGCCUUGAGAAAUGCAUAUACACACACACACACAUACAAACACACACAAACCAUUUCAAACGAAUGCAGGGAAAUAAACAGAGACGAGAGCACACAACCUCUUCACCCCUCUGGGAAUUUUACUAUUCUGCACUUCUCUGCUUCUCUCAUCCUCUCUCUCUCUCUCUCUCUCUCUCUCUCUCUCUCUCUCUCUCUCUCUCUCUCACACUCUCCCUCACACACACUCUCUCCCUCUUUUCCUCUCUUCGUCUCUUCCUCUGCUCCUUUGUCUCCCUGAUUAUGCAGUCGAUCCCAGGGUGCGCUCCUCACUGAGAUCAUCCACCUGUCAAUCUGAAGCACACACACACACAAUUUUUUUUUGCACACACCAUUCCACAGUGAUAUUGAUACAGAGGAAAUAUUAAUGACUUCACUCACCUGCAAUACGCCGUUGUAUCUUGCACUUCCAACAGCGGGCCAUGCAAUUCAUCAGCGCACAGUUCUGGAAACUUCCACUCAAAUAAAAUGAAAGUGUGGUGAAAUAACACUGAACGCUUUGUCCCUGAACACACCCACAGAGAUGUGCAGAAAGCGUCACAUCAAGUCGUGGAAAUGCAAGAUGGCUUGCAAUUUCAGCUUCUUUAACACAUGUCAUGUAGUUUUUCACUGCAUUGGCAUGUGAUUAUGUCUUUUUCAGGAUGUUCUGUGAUGCAAUCUGAUCACAGUUGUGCGUUCAGUAGUCUGCACAUGCAGGAACAAAGUGAAGAUGGAGAAACACGGUAUAUGCACAAGGUAUGAAAAUACCACGCAAGUAUUUUCUUCGUCGUGGCCUUUGAAUACUUGUUGGAAUAUCACAUGGUAAUUUAAGUGUGUUUCUUAGUCUUCACUUAAGUGUUCUUAUCAACAGCGGGGUUGCUGUCUGAAGCUUGUGAAUAUUUUUCUCCGUAUUAAAUCCAACAAUGUGUUUCAAUCAUGCAGGCAAGUCAGCCUCAGGCUGAUUAUUAUCAAGGCUUAACAUUCAAUAUGUGAAUCAAAUAAUGUCAAGAUAAACUUAUAAUAUCUAAUAAUCACAUAACAAACACAUAUGUAAGGAGAGCGACUUCCCUCCUUGCUGCCAUGAUAAUGAGUGUUUAAACUGCUCCACAAGAUGAGUCAGAAGGCAGAGAAGAUCAGGAACCAGGACUGCCAUACUGCAGUAAAAUGAGACACUACCACCUUUGUCAACACGCCAAAAUCAACACCAAAUGAAAGUAUGGUUGUAGAUUUAACUCUGCAAUCAUUAGUAAAGAGUGAGGCUGAUCUGAGAAGGAGGUGUUGAAGAGCGUUCACACAGCAACACACAGGAAGGUUUUGUUUAGCAAAGGAAAAGAAGACACCUUCGUUGACGAAGGAGAAUGACAUUGAUCGGCCGAAUACGGGAAAUUUGGUUUCCCUCCAUACAUCAGAUGGCCCACAUAUUUGCAUUUUUGUAACAGGUCGUCGGCCCGAUGGAUGAGGACAGAUUGAUAUCUAAGAUCUCGACUCAUUUCCUUUCUCUGUCUCACUCCAUCGCUCUCUGAGAUCCUGAGGCCUUAGCCUCAUGUGCUCUGAUGGUAGAGGUUACCAUGGCAACGCGGUGCUCUUGUGGCCCUCGAUGUCGGCACACACACAAACACGCACAUCCACUCUUUAUGCUCUCUCUAGGUCUCCCUCGGUCUCAUCAUGCAUACAUAUUCGGAGCUACAGGUGCCCCAAAAGUAUAUCAUCCUUCCUGAUUUUGAUUGACAGACUCGCGGGGCAGCGGAUCACAAUUAGUGAUGGUGCUAAUUUCCCACAAUGCCCUGCAGCCACUGGGCACCCACUGCGCCCGCAGCCAACUCAUCAAUAUUCAUGAGCCAUCUGAUGAAUAUGCAGAUUGAGAAACGCGGCGGUGUCCAGGUGAACAGCAGCAGCCCACCAAUCAGAGGCCGCCGUGUGUGCUCGACUUCCACGGGUCGGAGACGUCGCAGGAAACGGGAAGCCGAUGCAUCCGGAGCGACUCAUCCGAGUUAUGAUUCCGAUGAAUGGAUUAAAUCUUGAUAAUGAACAUUGAGAUCUAAAUUAAGAUUAACCACACAAUCACAAAUCAAAUUCUAAUUUUAAUUUACUGAUUUUAAAACUAAAAAAGUGCUUUUCUGCUAAUCCUUACAUUAUACUUAUAACAUAACUUGAAUCACCGUGGAUUAUAGGUCUGAAUUCAACCUCAAUCCACAUACAGUAUUUGAACCUAGCAACAAGGAAACCAACCUAAUACUAAACUCUGUAUACAUUUUACACCUAACUUUAGUGGUCUGAUUCUAACAAUCAUAUUAUACACUACUUCUAAUCUCAUUGAUUAUUGAAUUGUAAAUUUCACUUAUACUCUAAUCUAAUGCUCUAAUAUGUUAUUCUUAAAAAGUACCUGCUAUAUUGGAUUUUAAUGUUAAUCUUGAUUCAAACCACAUGGUUCAAUACGCUUUACUUUGCUUCAAAGAAAAAAGAUUACAAAUCAUAACUGUGUCACGAUACUAUGAGUCAUAUAUUUUAUAACCAGACGUUGGUGGGGCCGUAUAUUAGCCAAUAUUAUCUCACAGAAGUAUCCCCAUUAACAGCAUAUGUCAACCAAUAUGUAACAGAAAUACCAAAGCAUUAAGGACAUGGGCCUAUAUAUCCUCAUUAAAUAAUCUUAGUUUCCCUGUAAACAGAAUGUCUGAAAAAUAGUUUUUGAUGCAAGUUGGUUGACAGUUUCCACCCAAGGCCUAGUAGUCAAUUAUGGUGAUGAAUUUGAUCUACAAUUUCAACCAUUUUUGCCAAAGCUUAACACUAACAGAGCGUUAAGGUCCUGAGGGAUUGUUUGCAGAGUCAAGGAAUAAAACUCUAUCGAACAGAGGUGACAAGAAUGGCAUCUGUGGGCGUGAUUUAUCUUCUUGUUCACUCAAAGUUUGUGUCAUCCUCUUGUUAAACCAACUGUCCUUAAUUGGUGGAAGUUCAAGAAUAUUUACAUGGAGGAUGUAUUAACUCUGCAAAAGCAUCUCCCUGUUAUAUCGUAUGAAAAGGUUUUUGGUGUUUAAAUAUAUAAGCACACAAACACCGACUGACUCACACACACACACACACACACACACACACACACACACAAGAAGCCACACCGGGAGCUGCUCUGCUGCAGAUCUGGGAGUAAAACCAAAGCGGACAGAUCAGAGCGGAGAUAUAAUCAACCCUGAGUUCUGAGGAAAAAGCCGUCCGCUCCUUCCUUCUACUUCCUUUACUCUCUCAUCUCGAUGCCAUCCUCCACCACCGUCGCCCCCCCCACCUGCACCCCCCAUCUGUGUGGAGCUCUGGUGGUGCUGGCACAAAGCGGGCCGGUGCGUCUGGGCAAACCGACAGCCGGCGCCGCUCAGGACCCACGGCACUGACUCUGAGAUGGGGCUCACGUCGAGGCAGCGGCCCGGUGCAGAGUUCAGCCCAACCAGAAGGCUUAUUGUUGCUGUAGGAGUGUGUGUGUGUGUGUGUGUGUGUGUGUGUGUCACAGCUUUCCCCAGAGAGAUCCACCAUUAAUUGUGAAGUGAAGGAGCCUGAGGGCGACACCGGGGACCUCCAUUAAACACAGACAGGCAACUGACAACCUCUCUCUCUCUCUCUCUCUCUCUCUCUCUUUCUUCCCCACUUUCUUUCUCCAUCAUCCCUCAUCCCCUCCCUCAUUUAUCCUCUAAAAUUCUAAUUCACAUUCAAAUUUAAACAAGGUUCACAGCCAUGAAAGGAGCAAGCUAAUGUUGGCAAAGCAAUAACAGCACACAAAAGAAAAUAGAUUUGUGGAUUCUAGGAGCCUGGAAGGAAGGAAUGUAUCAACUAGGUAUAGACGUGCAGGAGAUGUCUGCUUUCUUGCAAAUUUCAAGCAGUGAUUACCUUUGUUUUGCAGAAAUCCUAUUCUGCUGUUUGUCUGAUUCCGCCAGAUGAAAUAAACUAUAGUUUUUAAUUACCUCAACUCAGACAUUCACACCUCAACAGGAAGGCCCCAAUUAUACUUUCAAAACAUCUCUCUCUGCUUUAAGUAGCUUUCGUUCCAAGUCGUCAGUCAGUGGAGAGAAACUUUGUCGCCUCAGAAAAGGAGAAACCUAAAACUUCCUAAUGGCGUCCUGGCCUCGGAGCCUGGCCACACAGCCUGGUGCUUCAUGUCGCUGGGCUCUGAUUCCCUUAUGAACGUAUUUCCAGAGCAGUGUAAUUAUUGCAGGCACAACGCCUCAGGAUGAGAACCUGAUUCCCUACUGGAUCUGUCUGGACUCCUGAAUAAGCCCAUAUUUGAGAUCUUCUCCGAACUGCCAGUCAGCAGCUGGAUCUUCACCAGAGGAAGCUUUUCCUUUGUCCCCUUGUGAAUCCAUAGCUUCUGAAAGUACGAUCACCACUGUGAAUGUGAAGAUACGUUUGAAAUGGCCACCGAUUAUCUGUCAUUCUCAUCACUCCUUCAUCAUCUCUCAGGAUUUUUUCCCUCCUGUGUCGUUGUGUGAUUGUACGAGCAGGGAGGGUCACCAGCCACUAGAGGGAGCACCAGUAGUAGGGAAAAGGCUCACACAUGUCAGUCCCAACUCACCCCCUCCAUGGCUUUGACCAUUAAACACACACACACACACACACACACACACAGUUACACAGUACAGUAUCUGUACAUAAUGCUGUAGGCAAAUACCAAUGAACCUAAUGGAGUCCACCUUAACUCUGAUUAUCAAUGAACUUGCCGGGGGAAGCACUGAUGUGCAUUUUAUUCACGUUCACAGACACGCACAUGCACAGACACACACACACACACAUACGCUAUAGCAGAUGUUAAGGAUUAAUGUGUGUGUAUGUGUGUGUGUGUGUGUGUUUGUGCGUAGCCUCAGGCAAUGUUCAACAAUGCAUUAUUCCUGAGUGCACCAGUUAAGAGGGGCACUCCGUCACCAUGGCAACCACCCUGGCCCUGAUGUAAACAUGGGGGUAGUUGAACGUCAGCCCCAAUAAAGUGGAAGACUUGCCCCCCCUAGAUUACAGACAAUAAAAGACUACGAUAGCAAUUCGUAGUGUGAAGAUGUCACAAUUUCUUUUAAAGAAGUUUGGGUGUCGUCUGUGUGAGGGCGGCGAGGGUAAAGUGAAGGUCAGUUGAUCACAACAUGAAUAAAUAUCUCAUUUUCUACCUCAUUUUUAUCCAAACCCAAGCACUGUGAACAUCAGAUCAAAAAUGGAGCUGAAAUGAAGGUGAAAUAAACUGUUUUCUAAAAGAUUAACAUUCUUUUAAUCUGAUUGAAAGUUUGCUCGUAGCAUCCUGAAAAUGUUGAUCUUUAGUCAGGCGUAAUCAAAUAUAAAUAAAAUAAAUUUAAAAAGUCCCAUACUCCAUGGCUAACAUCUGAAGAAACCCUGCUUUGUUAUACAACGCAGACUGCUGCCAACUUUUGAUGGCCCGCAGAGAAGAAUGGUGGAUUUCUGGAGAGAUUAGUAUAAUCACUGGAGUCCCUCAGGGGCUGAAUAUAGGUCGACCAGAAGCACAGAAUCUAAGCUAAGAGAGGAGAGGGUACCAGCGGCCACGGGCAACGUUUUAAGGCAAUGUUGCAGGGUACCCAUGUCUGUUAACACGUUAUAAACAUUGUUAUACUGCAUAUUUUAAGGAUCAUAGUUCAUUAAAAUUGCCAUAUAUCUAAUUCCUAGUGAUCUAUUUUGUUGUUUAAAUCAAAUCAAAUUAGAUUUACUGAUAUUGUUUCACUUUAUUUAAAGCACAUUGUGUAGUACAAGUGAUCAUUAUAUUUAACAAAAAUGGAAAUUAUAACAGUUAUCACAAAUUCAUUAUGAAGUAUUUUGAUACUUGGUAUUAUAUAUUAAGAUGUUAUAAAAUGCUUUGUAAAGGCUAUUUCUAUAAAGCAUAAGGAAUAUUUAUGAGUGCUUGUGUGUGUAAGUAUACAGCUCAAUAAACAUAUCAUAACACAUUUUAAUUAUGUUUGUGAUGCAUUAUCGACAUUGGCGUCAUCACUUGAGCAUUUGCUCCUCUCGGAUUCAUUUGAACAGAACAGAAUGUGUUUUCCUAAAGUAUAAAUGAGUCUAACGGCAGAGAGCCGUAAUAUUAAUUCCCUUCUGAAGGGAAAUUAUUAUUGAAUGGUAUUGUGUCAUCUAUUCAUGUUACACUAUCAUAUUCAGUUAAAUUAUACAACACAAUAUCAUUUUGGCACAUUUGUGUUGCACUGUACCAUUUUGUAUCAUUUGUCGUACCGUCAUUUCUACUGCACCAAUUGUACAGUGUUUUACAGUGUUGAAUCACACUUAGAAUUACGUUGUUUGUUUCAAGACUUUAUUCUUUUCCUGCUGCUUUUGUCGUGAAUGAUUAAAUCAUUUUGUCUCCUUUGUACAAACCAGUGAAAAUCAUCUUAUCAAACACUCGAAAAUGUAACAAAACAUCCACUGCUUACUUUGAAAGGUCAUCCGCAUUAUUCAUUAUUUGUCGUGGUUACUCAGUAACAGUCAGUAAGGAGUCAUUUAAAAAGGUGCAGUGCAUUGUGUGUGGGAAGGUGUCUUGGCAGAAAUGUAAUGUUUAUAAUCACAGGACGAUGAUUGAGUUUUUAUCAGCAUAUAAUGAGGCCUUCAUCGGGGGGAAAACAGCGCCACCGCCGCUAUGCACUCGCCGGCUUACGCUCCCGUGGUCCUAGAAAGGGACACACAUAACCUUUAUGCUAAUGAUAAUAGUUAACACAAAAAAAUGAGUUGUGUGGUUCCCUUGGAAACCAACAGACGAGUGUUGAGUCAGACCGAACCCAGCGCGCCCACCACCUCAUCCAGGCACCGCCAUUACUGUCUGCAAGCCACGCGAGCAGAAAAGUGGGCGCGACGGGGGUUAUAAUGCUCUUGAGUGUGUUUACAAUUGUGUGUGUGUGUGGAUCCCAAACUUACCACCCAUCGGAAUGGGUUCUGGUUUGUGUGUGUGUGUCUGACAGCUCAGAUGAGGACUGGCUGCAGGCAGCUGCUUUGCUCGAGGCCACAUUCAGUUCCGUCGCACCGCAUUAGUCCCCAACCAACCUGUCACCCCCAGCAAGAGAGUGAUAGCACGCAGCACACACACACACACACACACACACACACACGCACGCAGUCACGCCGUUAAAUACAUUCAUUUUACCAUUAAUCAACCAUCAUCAAUCACCAGUUUCCAAUGUGUUCGUGAGUAAAAAGCAGCACGUAACGCGGCGACUAAUGCGGAGAUGACUCUUAAUCUCCACCGUGCUCUGAAACGAUACACGGUGGCAAAACCACGGCUUCCUGUCCGCGCUUUUCAUCAGAGGGGGGGUAGUUGGGGGGGUGUUGCUUAAUCAGAGAGGCUAUAGCUAAAGUGCAGUGUGUGUUUUUGUGUGCGUGCAGUCCGUCAGUGCUGAUGUGCUAGUGAGGGGGACUAACCGGAGUUGAGUGGAGUCUUUUGUAGCGCAGGCGAGGCCCUCAGGCACAGCCCCAGACCUAGAUCCCCCCACCACCACCACCACCAGCAGCCACACACGCACACAGAUAAGUGCACACACACACACACAUAUACACGCCGUUUGCAUAUGCCUUCGGCCGUCGUGCUGUAGAUCUGAUGUGACAACUACAGUGGGGCACACUUUCCCACUAUCACCCCGCGUUUUGACGGGAUGUGACCGCCCGUGUGUGUGUGUGUGCAAUGGCGGUGGGGUGGGGUUAGUUGAGGGCUGCCAUAAUGAGGCUUGGUUUUGGUGGGACAGAUGUUGGGAUUCGGAGGGCAUCGGUUGAGACAAGGAAGUGAUGGUUCAUUGGGAUGAAAAUCUAAGUCUCUCUCUCUCUGUCUCUUUCAGCCUGUCUGCGUCUUGGUGUUUUUCUGUCUCUAUUACUGCCUUUCCCUCCCUCUCUCUCUUUGGUAUGAUUUCCUGUGCCCGGAGCCACUGACAGAGGCAAUUCUUCCCCACUCUGCUGCAAUGGUGCAUCUCUGAUUAACUUUUAAUGACUUCACUGUAGCAGCCAGACACACACAUGGAGGCCAACUCCGGCUGGAGAUGCGGGCUGGCUAUGAGAUGAAUCGACUGAGAAGUUUGCACUUUGGCUCAGCCGGGCUAAUAGCCCGUAAUGAAAGCGAUAUUUCAGAGCAAUCCGAUAGGAUGGAGGGCUAAAGCCGGGUUUUUGUCUUCCUCGCUCGCUGCAGGCCUCUGUUGAUUGCUGUGCAAAAGGGUUCAAGAGGUUACCUCAUAACUGCUGUUAUCACGGACAAGGAUCCAAUCUUUGAAUCUGGAUCUUGUUUUUUAACCCUUUGUCUUUUCCUGGUAAUAUUGAUCUGUAUGUAUGUUCCAUAAUGGUGGAGCUACAGACUGUAAACAACUGGAACUGAAUCCCAAAGCUUGACUUGUUUUGACUUGAUUUACUCUGACAGACUCAGACUAGACUUAAAUAAUUUCAGAUUUGACCAAUUUAGGACCUUAAUCUAACGUGUCUCUUGUGACUACUAUGACAAAACUCUGAGAAGGGCCCGACUGACGGAUUUGAAGCCUCAUCUUCACUUUUCACCAAUUCCCAAAGACUCGUUUUUCCACGUCUCAUGAAACAUUUACAGACUUUUAAGAAUGGUUUGGCUACUUGUAACAUUAAAGCGGCCAGAAGAAAGCCUGCUGAUAGCAGCCAGCGCUUUAGACUGGGCAAACUGGGCCCAGGUGUUCCCAGUUGGCUCCAUUGAUCUGCUGCCACCAGGUAUCUGGAGCUCACGGCGAAUGACGGAUCAGUGGGGAACGGCAUCGGGUGUCACCAUAUAAAAGGAGAAAGCCUUCAUUACAAUCAACCAAAUGCCUCGCAAAAUGUCCCUGAUUGUGUAAAAUAAAUCAUUAAAAAAAUCCAGAGUUGAUUGAAAUGGUGUGAGGGUAGUUUGAGAGAAAGCGAUAUUUAAAGCCGGAUAUGUGAAAUCAGUGGGAUGAGAAGGAGCUGUUGCAUCACCACACACCUGCAGUGUUCACGUUGGAUACAAAGAGAAGCCUCGUGCGCGGCAGUUCAGAUAAAGGCAACCAUCCAGAUUAUUUAGGGAGAGUCAGAGAUCAUUGCAUUAAAUUACCAACACAUUUUAACAUUUAAAAGAAUGGAUACUAGAAUGAGCAUUAUAAAGCAUACGUGUAUUGCACUAUAAAAAGAGAGGUUUGUGAUAUUUAGAUAUUUCUCAUUGACAUGAAUGAAGUGGAUUGAAGAUUAGAAAACAUACAAACUGUCUUGCUGGUACUUUAUCAGUCUGUCACAUGCAGAGUGAAGUGCUGGUCUCCGUUGCUGCUGCGGGUACAUGCUGAAUAGGCGGGAAAGUCGGGGUAUUGAUGAGUUCAGCCAUUUUGUUUUUUUCUCGGGGCGAAACUCUCUUUCAUGUUUCCGAUCAGAAAGAAGGAAAACAGUUAUGAAUUAAACAUGCGGACGAAACACCUCUGCAACAUCCACACCUUACUGCAUUUCCAACAAAGCUUUUAGAGGUCUGCUUCUUGAUGGUAGUCAUCUCUGCCCCAUCGGAAUACUGUAAGCUGCUCUCUCCACUUUAAUUCAUUUUUAGAUUUACUUUCUACUCGCUGACCCGCUAUCAAUGUGUAAAUGUAUGAGGCUUGUUUCAUGUAACAGGUUGUUUUCACUUCAGCCCUGCUGUGGGAUCUGCCUCAUGAAAACAGUAUUUGCAUUUCUGGUCCUCAGGUACAAUUUCAGAAAUAGAGUGAAUAAACCUAAUCUCAUCACCGCGUCUGUUUAGUGAUUCUUCUGAAGCUUUCCCUCGCAUCCACUUGGGCUAAAAGUUGACUGUCAAAGUUUCUCCUCGGCCUCUUGAAGGUCCAAUUUUAGCAGCUGUUCUGGAGCUUUUCAUCACAUAGCAGAAUCUUCCUGAGAAUAUGGAGGUCAGAGUUGACGGAGUUUUGAAGUUACCACUACAGGUUUUAUAAUCAUUUUGCAAGUGCUGAGUUUGAAGGAUUCAAGGACACCAGCCUGUGUUACGUCCAAUGGCAGCAACAGAUAAUAAAUAAUAGGGUAUCUUUGCGUAGCACCUUUGUGGUUAGGAUUGGUUAAAGAUCACGGUUGUGUAAGAAUAUAAUACAUAACGUUUAGAAACCUCAAAUGUUGGACAAAUUCGAACAUGAAGAAACGUUUGUGACAUCACAUGACUUUCAACCCUCUGCGUGGACAAUUGUAAAGGACGUACAUUGACAAUUGUUCACAGUAAGGGGCUGAAGGGCGAGAUAGUGGAGGGAGUGUUCGUUCCAGCCAUGAAGCCUUCCACCUACUCCAUCAGGGGAAUUGCGUUCAGGUGUGGCAGGAGACACACCUGAACCUCAUCUCCUCAUCAAGGGGUGGGUACAAAAAGGCAGGGGCGGAAGACGUUGGGGGAGAGACAGGGUGGGAGAGCAGCAGUAUGGGGGGGGGGGGGGGUGUGAGUGAGAGCCCUGAGAGCACCAGGAAAAGCAGUCCCGGUUGACUGCAUAGUCUGAUUCCUUAAGUUUAAUUUAGUUUUGCCAACAUGCUGGAGAUAAACUUGGUGAUCUGCUGCCAUAAUUGUUACAAUUCUCAGUGCAACCCUGUUACAAUUACAUUGAUCGUGUCGGGUAACAUUAAUGCACCUCAUCAAGUCAAUAUGAGCCAAGCCACAGCAUGUUAUAUUUAAUAAUGUAUAAAAGCAAGUCUGGAUUUUCUUAUUGCAGAAUAGUGCAGCGUGUGACUGUGAGGAAACGGCUGAGGAGGGAGGGACCAUUUUCAGAAUGUAGCUUCGGCCCUCAGGGAGGCGACGGCCUGCUCUGAUGUUCGCUCCGGAUUGCAAAUAGGGGCCUACAGAAUAAUCCAAUAUUAUGAAAAUGUGUUGGAGAUACGAAGGUGACACGAUCUCAUCCCAUCACAGCAUUUCACUGCACGCUAUAAGGAUCAAAGACGACUGUAUUCAAUAGUCUCUAGUGUGCACAGGCAUAUUGCACACACUGCUUUUCUUUGAAUGGUCGAUAAGUCAAUCUCUACUCUUCUGUUUUCUCUAUCUUUCUCCAGGCCACUGGUGUCAUUGGUUGUCCAAAGUGUGUGUGUGUGUGUGUGUGUGUGUGUGUGUGUGUGUGUGUGUGUGUGUGUGUGUGAGAGGGGGCACACACAUCUGCAGUGAAACUAGCUUCAUGCCGCCAGUAACUCAUUGCAUUGUGUUUAACUUUUAUUUGCCCAAUGAUGAUGAUUUGACAACUGCUUCUAAACAUAUUUAUCUUCAAUCUUUGAGAAAAAUCUGAAAGAACGUUUCAGCAUAAAAUACAACAGAAGCAUUAAAGAUUUAAAAAGCAGGAAAUGUAUUGCAAGAAAGAACGUUUUUGAAAAACAGUAGAUUUCAGUAUUCUUUUGUAUGAAAACAGACUGCUGUGUAAUCAUGGAAAGCAGAUCAAAAAAAGUUUGUAUGAUGACUGUUAAAAUAAAAAAGGGCCCUCAACCUUUUCAAAGCACAAGCUCAACUUAAUUCCUGUGUAUGCGUCGCGUCCGUCUGGUGUGGUGUCCAUGCGUUGCUGUCGGAGUGCGGUUGAGUGCUAUGCUGUGUUGCAUCUCCCCGUGGUGGAGAUGGAAGGCGACACGGCGGCCUGCUCUCUGUCAGAGGAAGGCGAGUGUUAAUAUUUAACCGAGGGAGGCUCUAUUUAGAGCCCGCCGCCUCUCCUGCUCCCCGGUGGACGGCACAACGCCGAUGCAGGCCGCCGCCGUUAUGGAGGAAAGCUGUAGGAGGCAGCCGCACGUCACUAAGUCGCCCUGACAGAAUCAGUUUGCAGAUGAGCUUUAAAACGCGUCGCACUGUUUUCCAUGUCUGCGUGUUUGUGUGUGUGUGUGUGCGUGUGCGCGCCCUGAAAAUCUCUAAUUUAAGAGUUUCUCUUCAGAGACACUUGCAAAGCCCCCAGCAUGCUUUGCAACGCAGCUCACAGGCCCAUUGCAGGCCAUUCGGGUACAGAAGCAAUGCUCCCCAAAAAGCCGACACAACUCACACAUUUAUUUCAUGCCCUCAGUUGUUGUUUUGACCUGAGGUGACCUCGACUUUCUUCCUCUGGGUUUCAUUGACUUUUUCAACUCUUCUUCCGCAUUUUUGCUGAUUUAAAAAUUCCCUUUACCCAUCAGUGUGUGUGGGAGUUUGCCAACACGAACAUUUUAGGCCUUAUACCAUUUCCACGUGAAAUACCUGUGAAUGUUGCACGUCAUGGGCUUUGGUUGUGAAAGGGGAGAAUGGAAAGAGCGGAUCCGGUUUGCACGGCCAUUUGUCGUGGUUGAAAGGAGCAACAACGUUUUCCUGACCACAGCGUCUUCAUGUCACCCUGUGAGCACCCGAGGCUCGAUCAUUAUGUGACGCAGCGAUUACACAAUCUCUUCUUCCAGUUUGAAAGGAUACCCGCGAUCAGAUUUCUCGUACAAUCUUAAACACUAAAAGUUCAAAUUAAAGAUAUACGCUACUGCUACUUCAGAGAGAGAUUGUAAGUGCAAAUUGAAUGUAUGGAAUGCUGGAGACUUCAUGAACUGGCUACACAGUGUUUAUUUCUUGAGUUGUAGCACAUCAUUGCUGCUGUAUUGAUAAAUGUCUUUCCAUUACCUGUGGAUAUUUCAAUAGACAUCUUUGGUUUUUGUAGUUUGGAGGGAAACCUUCCUCAAGCGCAUUCAUAAAGCAUAUGAAUCUAAAAUUAACGAAUGGUCAGUUUGUCCAUGCAAGGAAUCUGCUCCAUUCUUCUUAGUGUCAGUUGGUCUUUUAGGGUCUGCUCAAUGCGUGUACUGUUCAGUUCACCGUAUGCAAAUGUUCUGAAAGAUACAAGCCCUUUAAGUUCUGGACCAAUCUUUCUGGAGGAAUUUCUGCAAACUGGAAUGUAAAGGUCGGAAGUGGCCUCUCUUAACCUUUAACCUUCAAGGCGAGACCUUUUGUCAAGUGCUGGACAAAAGCUUCUUUCCAGCACGAGGGGCCCGAGGCCCCGAUGUCGACCCCUCCUUCUUGCCCUGUUGUUGAGACUACUAGGUACAUUGAAGGUGAAGUUUUGUUUUGAGUGUGUGAUUCUCCAAAUUUGUGGAAUGGACUGUAAGCACCUUGUUUGUUUUGAACAAUAAAGCCUGUAAUGAUAACUGGGUAUAUUACAGGCUACACAACAACAUUACUUUAAUCUGAAAUUCAGCAUAAUCUUUUAUUUAGCAUUAAAUUCAGCCGUACAAAAACACAAUCCUCAUGUUGACAUUGAUCUGUUGCUCUCGUUUUUUCUCUUUGUCCGGAAAAAACUAUCAUCAGUUACUGGUUGAUUUCCAUCAAUCCUGCAGAACUUUACACCUUCUGCAGAUGGUUGAUUAACUAGAGAAAGUCCCAGUCCUGUAGCACUUUGAGGCGUUUCAUGUCAAACAGAUAAACACAUGUGUGCAGAAAACUAAAGUAUGUGGUGUCCUGUCCUCUAAGUGUCGAAGAUGCUCUACUGUCACAUUUCCAAUGUCUCUGGGAGAAACAAAGGCCUAAAGUGAGGAGUAAAAGACUCUCUACAAUUUCAAAGAAAUCUCUGCUUCUAUUUGCGUUUGAGGUAAAUAAAGCCUCCAGCUACUAUUUGUGAAUUCAUGGUCCAGAAUAAAUCUACCGAACCUUCCAGAUAUCAUCUGAAAGAGCCGGGCAGUACAAACCUCGAUAAUGCACCAAGUGAGCCUACAACAAGCUGCUGAUGUACAUUUAGUUCAUCUUUCUUCUUUGUCAUCAUGCGAGACUUUAAAUCUGACUUGUGAUGUUCUCCUAAAGACGGCUGGUUACUGAAGCAGAACAUCUCAAUAACAAAUUAAGAGUAAACCCUGCUGAACUUCUGUAAUACUCGAGGCUCGCUCUGACAAAUUUAAUUAGCAGAUACGGAUAAAGCAUUUACAUCUGAGUGUGUGUGUGCGUGAUCUGAUGGGAUCAAUAGUGGUUUGGGAGGCCCAGUUGGCAGCUGCUGAGAGCUGGAAACAGGUGCAGACAUGGCUGCUUGAUGUACAAGGCGACUGAAAUGAGAUGAAACCACUUGACACCCAGAAGAACCAAUUAAUUACACUAAAUCUCCUGCAACAGUGAGACUACGAACAGCUCGACUGCUGCAGAUCAGCGAGGAAUGCCUGGAUCCAGCACAGAAUCCUAAAAGGAUUCCAUGUAUUUCAGCUUGAAAAAUAAAGUGAAAGAUGAUAAAGAGCUUGAAAUGUAUUUAGAUGCUUUUUCCGAUGACGCCCAAACUGUCGUACGAACGAGGAGAGCAGAGACUGGGAGGCUUUUCCUGGGAGUCCUGGGAGCAGCUGAGAUGUUAGGCAUGCUAAUGCUACUUACUGCAUGAAACUGGCCAGGAAAAAUCCGACAGACGGACACUUCUGGGACAAACAAGCCGGGCAAAGCCAGUAAAACAUAACGUUUUUUUACUCAGUUAGACGUUAAGAAACCGGAUCGGUAAAAGAUUGGAUCCAAAAUCACUAACCACAGAGCAAUUUGCCGUUAUGUGCUGUUUGUUAACAUGUGGACUUUGAGCCUCUAAAGUAUCUUUGUUUGAUUCCUCGAUUCAUUACAUUGAAACAGCUAGAAUUUGUAGUAAUGAUAUCAGUAAUAACGAUAAUAAUAUCAGUAAUUAUAAUGCAUUAAUAAUAAUAAUAAUAACCUAUUUAUCGUCAUGAGCAGUAGACUAUUUAGAAAGUAAAUACUGAGUGAAUUUUGAGUGAAUCUCACUUGGAAAUAAUGAAAAAUAAAAUGUUCCCUAACAUUAAAAACUAGCAUCGUUUUCGUCCAAAACCUUUCCAACCCUCGAGUGUGUCAAUUAGCAGUAGGUGCAUUUAAUAUGUGUGGAGGAGGAUGUUUGAGGUGUAUCGGUAUCAGGUGGCCUUCUCUUCUGAAGCGCCAGCCUAAAAUUUUGAACGUUGCCCUAAUUAAGUGCCCCUCCCUUGGCCAGCGUGGUCCUGGUGUCCCCCCUCCCGGGGCCCGGGGGGGCCGGUGUGGCCGUCUGGGGGGGCCUGACCCCAAAACCCCGCCUGAGGCACUGACUGCCACCAGCCUGAACCCUCCCUAACCCCCAACUAGCUCCCUCCCCUCCCCGGCUUCCUCUCUCUGAUGCUGUGCUCCGCCGUCCAAUUGGCUCAGAGCUACAGACUUCUUUUGUCUGUCCUCAUUAGAAUACUGAUCCUCCACACACACACACGCACACAAAGACAUUCACACAUUCAUUUUUCACUAAUUACAGUAUCAUUAGUUGAUCUAUUGCAGCCAGAUGGUUGACAAAGGGAUUUAAAAAUUAACAAUUUCACACUUAUUGUGCGGAUUCUGAUUCAUAAAAUACAAUCUGUAGUUUGUGUCCAACAAGACCUCACGUCCGGUCCAGUCGCCAGGAAGAAAUGUUGUUAGUCUUUGCAAUUGUUUCCAGAAACGGCCUGUUACUGAAAGUGAGAGAGUUCACUACGGGUUGAUGGGCCAGUUCUUCAAUUUUGUGUCACACAUUAAACACAUUUAGAAGGAAACUGUUGACUGUCACUAUUUUGGAUACAGAAAAAAAGCUCUUUUUUGACAAAGAAGAAAAGGAUAUUUAGGAACAGUUUGUAUAUUUCGUUGAACAGACAUAUAUGUUGGUUCAUGAAUGAAAUGAAUUCUCCAACAAGACCAACAAACAUUUACGCCCCUGAAACAAGUACACGGCUAAAAGUUUUAAAAGUGAUUUUCAAGCAAAACAUUUACAAACACAACCAUGUAUGUCUUUAGGAAAACAAACGGAUUCAAAAACGUUUCAAAUACAAAGGCAGAUAAAUCACAGGUAACAUUGUGCAAUCGGGCCCGGUCCCUUCAUCCGCCGGCAGCUGUCCAUCAUCUUGACUGGCAGCCCAGAGGAAGGCUCUGACGGGCAGAUGAGAGCAAGAAGCCGAUCUCUGCCGCAGAGGCAACAGCGGCAGUCCUGUGUUCUACCUGCCCGCCUCCCAGCACCUCCUCCCGCUCUCCUGACCGCCUCCCGCAGGCUCGCCUCCCUCCUCUGCCUGCAGCCAAUAAACACAGGACAUUAUCUCCUUGAGGAAAGGUAUUGUUCACAGGGACGCCAGUGCUUUCUCUGCUUGUUAAACCAUCCAGGGCAGACAAGAAAGCGGCACGCACGCUCCAUUGUCACAAAGAGCAACAGCUGGAUUUAAGAGCGCCACUCUGACAGCUGUGGCCCUCAACUCUGAGAAACUUCACCAAGCCGUCUCGCAUGGUGAGACUUCACGCCGCUCACUUUUCUUUUCCACUACACGUGUGGAGUUUUAAAGUGUUUUUUUUCCACCUGCAUCAGGCUCUGCAGAGAUGCGCUCAAUCUCCAGGACCACCGCCAUCCUCCCUUCAUGGACUUGGACCGCAGUCCCGAGGCCCACCGCGCCCUGCAGGACCACCGUCGGCCUCUUUUCAUGAAACCGCUCCACGCCGCACGCCUUACCACACCUCGCUCCCUCCCCACCCCCCCUGCGCCCCCGCCUCGCUCUCCUGGCCCACCUCGUUCUCCAGGCUCCCUGUGGACACUUGACUUUUCCAGAAGCCUCUGCAGGCCCACGCUUCACUCCACAGGCCCCCACUAGUCUCCAGGCGCCUCAUGCCCACAGCCAGUCUCUUUGAUGUUGCCCUCCUGGCAGACAACAUCGGGGUUGGUGGAUGGAUCGGUGUGCGUGUGUGAAAAAAAAAAGGAGGAAAAAAAAAUUACAGCAGCUAUAUAAGACCAACAAGCUCCAUUGGUGUGUGUGUGUGUGUGUGUGUGUGUGUGUACUGGAAUACACUCUUCUUUUUCACACACACAAACAGAGAAAAAAGGGAAACAUGAAAAGGACUAUUUGAUGAGCAGCUGACAGCAGCUCGACUGGCUCUGCUCGGUCUGGCCACAGUGGGCGGGACUUCUUCUGAAGAUUGUUACGCGUCACCACCAAUAAGACUCCAGUCCGUCAGCUGUCAGACCACAACAGGCUGCUUAGGUUCACUGGCACUCACAAAAAAUGAAUUGUAUUUAAAAAAGAGGUUCAAUAGAACCUAGAAUAGAUUUACAAACAAAAGGCAAUCGACACAAACUUUAGCCCAAACUAAAUUAUUUGAAAAUAAAAAUGGAGAAGCAAUUUUGUACAUUGCGAAACGUUCAGAAACGUUGGGGAAUGUUCUUAACAAAGUCUGACAAUGUCAUUAUUAUGAUUCAUUAUCCCCUAAAAAAAUAAACAUCGUUGAGAGUGCAAAUAAUAUCAUGUAAAUACACAAGAGAC
Molecule: long non-coding RNA, 17842 nt
Organism: Gasterosteus aculeatus aculeatus (three-spined stickleback)
Lineage: Eukaryota; Metazoa; Chordata; Actinopteri; Perciformes; Gasterosteidae
Source: Ensembl